GUAAUUAGAGUCAGCAGGGAAGCAACCGGGCCCUAGCGGGCCUCUCGUUUCUCUCCUGGUUGUUGUGGAGGAUUGGCAGGGCCGCUUCCUUCCAGGGGCGAGGCAUGUGCCUGGGUCAUAACUCAAAGACGAAAAUGAUCAUCAAUUUGCGCCCUGCUCCCGGGAUAAACUGGGGAGGAGGACCGAGAUUACUAGAGUAAUCAGAGUACAGGUAGAGCAGGGAGAGGAUGGUGCGAGGCCCGUUGCCUUGGGUGCAGUUAAUGGAACAAACUAAGAUUGUUGCCUAAUCGACUUCUACUAAGUUAAUUUGAAUAGAUUCACAUUCCUUAUGCAUCGGGCUAAAAGAAUGACCAGGCAAAAUGAGUGACCCUUUUGACAUAAAAGUCAAGAAUUAUCCUACACCAGCAGACCUGACGGGACGCUGCAGAGGCAGCAGCUGCAGUGAGCAGGCAUGAUGAAAGCACCAGGCCGUGAAGCCCCAUUAGGAAAAGGAUCUCAUCCACUGUCUUGUGAGUCAUUGUUUGGAGAUGAUCUGAGCUAAAUUCCUUCUGAGGCCAGCCUUCCGGGAUGGAGUGGAACUGUUGAGCGUUGCCCUGGAAAUGUGAACUAGAG
Molecule: long non-coding RNA, 612 nt
Organism: Bos taurus (domestic cattle)
Lineage: Eukaryota; Metazoa; Chordata; Mammalia; Artiodactyla; Bovidae
Source: Ensembl